Molecule: unclassified non-coding RNA, 181 nt
Filed under: Archaeospora sp.
Lineage: Eukaryota; Fungi; Glomeromycota; Glomeromycetes; Archaeosporales; Archaeosporaceae
Description: partial contains 5.8S ribosomal RNA and internal transcribed spacer 2
Rfam family: 5.8S ribosomal RNA (bases 1-71)
Source: RNAcentral
GUGAAUCAUCAAAUUUUUGAACGCAUAUUGCACUAUCUGGUAUUCCGGAGAGUAUGCCUAUUUGAGGGUCAUUUGUAAUUAUAUAAUUUUCGAGAUUUUCUUGAAAUUAAAAAUGGGUCGGUCGAGCUUUCGUGUGAUGGUCGCCGCAAAUGCAAGACAAGCUCAUUUGUGGGGUUGCGUG